UACGUAGGGUGCAAGCGUUGUCCGGAAUUAUUGGGCGUAAAGGGCUCGUAGGCGGCCAACUAAGUCAGACGUGAAAUCCCUCGGCUUAACCGGGGAACUGCAUCUGAUACUGGAUGGCUUGAGUUCGGGAGAGGGAUGCGGAAUUCCAGGUGUAGCGGUGAAAUGCGUAGAUAUCUGGAGGAACACCGGUGGCGAAGGCGGCAUCCUGGACCGACACUGACGCUGAGGAGCGAAAGCCAGGGGAGCAAACGGG
This 253-nucleotide ribosomal RNA is filed under the name uncultured bacterium. RNAcentral's name for it is "partial 16S ribosomal RNA". It matches the Rfam family "Bacterial small subunit ribosomal RNA", at positions 524 to 776 of the family's 1533-position model. The record is from RNAcentral.